Molecule: ribosomal RNA, 254 nt
Filed under: uncultured bacterium
Lineage: Bacteria
Description: partial 16S ribosomal RNA
Rfam family: Bacterial small subunit ribosomal RNA
Source: RNAcentral
UACGAAGGGGGCUAGCGUUGUUCGGAAUCACUGGGCGUAAAGCGCACGUAGGCGGGCCGUUAAGUCGGGGGUGAAAUCCCAGAGCUCAACUCUGGAACUGCCUUCGAUACUGGCGAUCUUCGAGUCCGGGAGAGGUGAGUGGAACUCCGAGUGUAGAGGUGAAAUUCGUAGAUAUUCGGAAGAACACCAGUGGCGAAGGCGGCUCACUGGCCCGGUACUGACGCUGAGGUGCGAAAGCGUGGGGAGCAAACAGG